This 233-nucleotide ribosomal RNA is filed under the name uncultured Rhizobiaceae bacterium. RNAcentral's name for it is "partial 16S ribosomal RNA". It matches the Rfam family "Bacterial small subunit ribosomal RNA", at positions 1150 to 1382 of the family's 1533-position model. The record is from RNAcentral. Lineage: Bacteria; Pseudomonadati; Pseudomonadota; Alphaproteobacteria; Hyphomicrobiales; Rhizobiaceae.
UGCCGGUGAUAAGCCGAGAGGAAGGUGGGGAUGACGUCAAGUCCUCAUGGCCCUUACGGGCUGGGCUACACACGUGCUACAAUGGUGGUGACAGUGGGCAGCGAGAUCGCGAGGUCGAGCUAAUCUCCAAAAGCCAUCUCAGUUCGGAUUGCACUCUGCAACUCGAGUGCAUGAAGUUGGAAUCGCUAGUAAUCGCAGAUCAGCAUGCUGCGGUGAAUACGUUCCCGGGCCUU